GGAGUCGGCCAGACAGUCGCGUCACUCGCAAGAGUGCCGAGGAAAGUCCGGGCUCCAUAGGGCAAGGUGCCAGGUAACGCCUGGGCGGCGCAAGCCGACGGACAGUGCAACAGAAAGAUACCGCCUACGUUCCCUUAGGGGAGCCGGUAAGGGUGAAAUGGUGCGGUAAGAGCGCACCGCGAGUCCGGUAACGGACCGGCACGGCAAACCCCACCUGGAGCAAGACCAAAUAGGGAUCCAUUGGCGUGGCCCGCGCUGGAUCCGGGUAGGUUGCUUGAGCGCUGCGGUGACGUAGCGCCUAGACGAAUGACUGUCCACGACAGAACCCGGCUUAUCGGCCGGCUCCGCCG
This 350-nucleotide RNase P RNA is filed under the name Xanthomonas axonopodis pv. cassiae. RNAcentral's name for it is "RNase P RNA component class A". It matches the Rfam family "Bacterial RNase P class A". Rfam says of the family: Ribonuclease P (RNase P) is a ubiquitous endoribonuclease, found in archaea, bacteria and eukarya as well as chloroplasts and mitochondria. Its best characterised activity is the generation of mature 5'-ends of tRNAs by cleaving the 5'-leader elements of precursor-tRNAs. Cellular RNase Ps are ribonucleoproteins. RNAcentral also lists the same sequence under 4 other names. Lineage: Bacteria; Pseudomonadati; Pseudomonadota; Gammaproteobacteria; Lysobacterales; Lysobacteraceae. The record is from RNAcentral.